This is a long non-coding RNA of Lolium rigidum, 295 nucleotides long. RefSeq lists it as uncharacterized. The record is from RefSeq and is a predicted model, not a curated record. Lineage: Eukaryota; Viridiplantae; Streptophyta; Magnoliopsida; Poales; Poaceae. The transcript has 3 exons.
CGCCGCCGCGCGCGAGCUCCGGCACCCCGCUCGCCGGCCUCCUCGGAUUGUCGCCCGACGACAUGGACGCGGCCGUGAGCGCCGGAUGAGGCGCGCACAACCUGCAGGACCUCGCCACCGAAGCCCCACAUCCAGGCUGCCGUCCAAGAACACCUCUCGCCACCCAAAGGUUCUCUGGCAAGAGUGCAAACCAGCCCACGAGUUCACCGUGGCGGCGGUGUGCGAUGGCAGCGGGUGGCCUUGUAAUUCCACUCCGUAGGCUUUGGGUGCACAAGUGUAUGCUGAUCGGGACUAC